RNAcentral lists this ribosomal RNA (491 nucleotides) under uncultured soil bacterium. RNAcentral describes it as "bacterial SSU rRNA". It matches the Rfam family "Bacterial small subunit ribosomal RNA", at positions 27 to 513 of the family's 1533-position model. The record is from RNAcentral.
GGAUUGAACGCUGGCGGCAUGCCUUACACAUGCAAGUCGAACGGCAGCACGGGAGCAAUCCUGGUGGCGAGUGGCGAACGGGUGAGUAAUAUGUCGGAACGUGCCCAGUCGUGGGGGGAUAACGCAGUGAAAGCUGUGCUAAUACCGCAUACGAUCUAUGGAUGAAAGCGGGGGACUCGCAAGAGCCUCGCGCGAUUGGAGCGGCCGAUAUCAGAUUAGCUAGUUGGUGGGGUAAAAGCCACCAAGGCGACGAUCUGUAGCUGGUCUGAGAGGACGACCAGCCACACUGGAACUGAGACACGGUCCAGACUCCUACGGGAGGCAGCAGUGGGGAAUUUUGGGACAAUGGGCGCAAGCCUGAUCCAGCAAUGCCGCGUGCAGGAUGAAGCCUCGGUUGUAACUGCUUUGUACGGUAACGAAAGGUACCGUUUACUAAUAACAAGGACCGAGUGACGUACGUAAGAAUAAGACACGCUAACUACGUACGACCG